RNAcentral lists this ribosomal RNA (253 nucleotides) under uncultured bacterium. RNAcentral describes it as "partial 16S ribosomal RNA". It matches the Rfam family "Bacterial small subunit ribosomal RNA", at positions 524 to 776 of the family's 1533-position model. The record is from RNAcentral.
UACAGAGGGUGCGAGCGUUGUUCGGAAUUAUUGGGCGUAAAGGGCGCGUAGGCGGUGCGGUAAGUCACCUGUGAAAUCUCCUGGCUCAACUGGGAGCUUGCAGGCGAAACUGCCGUGCUGGAGUGUGGGAGAGGUGCGUGGAAUUCCUGGUGUAGCGGUGAAAUGCGUAGAUAUCAGAAGGAACACCUGUGGCGAAAGCGGCGCACUGGACCACAACUGACGCUGAGGCGCGAAAGCUAGGGGAGCAAACAGG